Carassius carassius (crucian carp) is the source of this 302-nucleotide long non-coding RNA. RefSeq lists it as uncharacterized. The record is from RefSeq and is a predicted model, not a curated record. Lineage: Eukaryota; Metazoa; Chordata; Actinopteri; Cypriniformes; Cyprinidae. The transcript is spliced from 3 exons.
GCCAGGUUUUGGAAAAGAGGAUUCAUGUCACCAUGUGAGGAAUUGAACCAGCAGAGAGAAAGGUUGUCCUGCUCUAGUGGCGUAGUGCAUUUUUCACUACAUCUGGAGCGUGACAUUUUUUCUCUAUGCUGAGACGCACCUGUGGUGUGAAAAAAGGAAGACGGUUGACAGGCGAGACAGUGAUAAACAACAUCAUUAAUUUUCAUUAAUUUUACAGGUUUUUAUUUUAAAUGGCCUAUUUUGAAGUCUGUAUACUCUGACAAUUAAAGGAUGAUAAAGACAAGGAUUGCUACCUUUACUGU